GUCUUUUAGAACAGGGUCUGCCUCCCUGAAAAUCACCUGGAGAAGGCAACUUCUAUAAUCUGAGAUGCUUUGAUGAGUCCUCCAGCACAGGCAGGAAAAAGGAAAAAAUACCCAGUGUGAUGACCUUCUACCAGGACUAUAGAUUUUUCACUCUAGAUUGAAAUCUUCAAAGCCUAUGGCUUCAUCAACUACCAAUUUAUUUGAGUAUCAAGCUGUGAAGACAUCGAAAUCAAUUAUGUUGGCUGCAGCGAUUAACGUGUGUCUAGCCAACGCUGGCAUAUAAUGACUGCUUGUAACGCUUGCUGUCACAACCUUUUUAUCAUAAACGAUAUCCUCAUUAAUAACCAAACUCAUCCCCAUGGCUGUCUAACGGCCAGGAGGUCGCCCAGUCAGCACCCACACCUCGAGCUAAUGCAUCUCUCCAACAGCUCUCUUUUAGUUUUUGUACAUUUUUCUUCCAAUUUUGACAAUUUUUCAUUUGUCACUGUGACUGAGAAAGGAAAUACAAUGCAUAAAAUAUAAACUUGGCAAAAAUGUCAGAAGAGCCAGUGCUCAAAAAAUGAAGCAUGAUGUUUUGGUGGCAAAUGUUAACACAGGCUCACAGACUUCAGACCAGAAGAGAUACAGAGAUGGUUGUAUGAUUGCAACAGGAUUUCAUCUCUAGAGGAUCAAGGAGGUCAACCUAGCUAGGAGACCUGUGGGAAAUCAGAUAUGCUAUCAAAGACACGAAAUUAAAAGACAUAUGUUCCUUGGCAGAAAAGCUAUGACAAACCCAGCCAGCAUAUUAAAAGGCAGAGACAUUACUUUGCCGACAAAGGUCCAUCUAGUUAAAGCUAUGGUCUUUCCAGCAGUCAUGUACGGAUGUGAGAGUUGAACCACAAAGAAGGCUAAAUGCCAAAGAAGUGAUGUUUUUGAGUUGUGGUGCUGGAGAAGACUCUUGAGAGUCCCUUGGACAGCAAGGAGAUUCAACCAGUCCAUCCUAAAGGAGAUCAGCCCUGAAUAUUCAUUGAAAAGACUGAUGCUGAAGUUGAAGCUCCAAUAUUUUGACCACCUGAUGCGAAAAGCCCACUCAUUGGAAAAGACCCUAAUGCUGGGAAAGACUGAGAACAGGAAGAGAAGAGGGUGACAGAGGAUAAGAUAGGCAGCAUCACAAACUCAACGGACACGAAUCUGAGCAAGCUCCAGGAGACAGCAGAGAACCGGGAGCCUGGCAUGCUGCAGUCCACGCGGUCACAGAGUCAGACACAACAUUGCAACUGAAUAACAUCAAUGACACAGGCACAACCUUCAAGAUCAACGCUGUGCCGCAGAAGGUGGAGAUGAUGGCUGGUGCCGGCGAGCAUACGGCACCACUACCCACACACGACUUCUGAGCACUUGAAAUGCAGCUAGUGCCGCGCAGCAGAUGAAUCCUCAACGUGAUUUUACAUCAGUUAGAUUUAAAUGGCCAGACCAGCUCUAGAUCAUUAGGUCCUCAUGGGGGAAAGGUGUGCACCUUUGGUCUGAGAGAAUGAGGGUCACGUGAGACCUUUUGGAAACCUAACCAUUUACAUAUGGCUAUGGCAGGGCGCAGGUAGCCUAACCUGGGUAUGUCUGGAGACUGGCUUCCCUGUGCCGGGGGCCCCGACCCACCUCAGAGUUACACAGGGUGCUGUAUGGCAUCCUCAGAUCCAGGUUAGCACAGCCUGGUCCAGGGAUGUUUCUGAACUUGGUGCUGAGGAAUGGAACAGGGUCAGGCCCAGAUAUCUCGAGGAGUCACCCUGGAGAGCAAGAGAGACUGUCCUCCACCCAGGACUGGCAGUGGUCACUGCUGUCGCCCCUCCCUUUAUUUACACAGAAACUUGUGUGCGGCUGCGGGGAGGGGAGGCUUCAGGAACAAUGCUGCACCUACCUGGCUCACACUUAGCCACUGUCCCCAGAGCCGAGGCGGAAGCGGCCGGCCUCGGGAGCGUCCACCUGUCAGCGGCAGCUCUUCAGCACCAGCCCGUCGGGGAACUCUCGGCGCCUUUCUCCUACCGGACCUCUCACGGAUGACCCCAAUCCUUUGCAAAGCUCCCGAGGGUGCUGUGCCUCCACGCAGCCCAGCCUGCUCUGUCCCCCAACACUGGCUCUGCAGACCAAGGGCAACCAUGGAGCAAUUUUGGCAGGGCACGAAGGAUCCUGUUAUAGUGAAUCUCCAGCCAACAGACACCAACUGGCCUUACCUUCGUGUGACCGAACAACCUUUCCCGUGAUAACAAAAUCUACCUCAAGGCUACCGGCUCCCCUUGUUUCCAGACACUGGUGAUCGUAGAAAUUUGGAGUUUGUUUUCAUGGUUUCCCUCUCCCAACACCUCUUUAUUGCAAUAUUAUUUUUGUUGUUGUUUUGCUGUUUAGUCGCUAAGUCGUGUAUGACUC
Molecule: long non-coding RNA, 2397 nt
Organism: Bos taurus (domestic cattle)
Lineage: Eukaryota; Metazoa; Chordata; Mammalia; Artiodactyla; Bovidae
Source: Ensembl